RNAcentral lists this ribosomal RNA (200 nucleotides) under uncultured bacterium. RNAcentral's name for it is "partial 16S ribosomal RNA". It matches the Rfam family "Bacterial small subunit ribosomal RNA", at positions 8 to 208 of the family's 1533-position model. The record is from RNAcentral.
AGAGUUUGAUCAUGGCUCAGGACGAACGCUGGCGGCGUGCCUAAUACAUGCAAGUCGAGCGGAGUUAUUCCUUCGGGGAUAGCUUAGCGGCGGACGGGUGAGUAACACGUAGGCAACCUGCCUGCAAGACCGGGAUAACAUUCGGAAACGGAUGCUAAUACCGGAUACGCAGUUCCCUCGCAUGGGGGAGCUGGGAAAGG